AUUGGAAAUUAUCAUUACCAUUUAAUGAGGAUGGUUGGAUAAUAUUUAAUAUACAACAAAUUGGAUAUUAUCGCGUUAACUAUGAUGAAGAGAAUUGGCAAAGAAUUACAAAUUAUCUACACUCCCAUAAUUACAAGAAAAUUCAUGUUCUUAAUCGUGCCCAAAUUAUCGAUGAUGCAUUUAAUUUAAUGAUAGCAGGCCAUCUCCGUUCCUAUAUAUUUUGGAACAUUACAUCGUAUUUGCAUCAAGAAGAAGAUUAUAUAGCAUGGUAUCCUAUGUUUAAAGCUCUGGAAUAUAUAUGUAGUUCUUUUCCAGUGUUGAAAGAAGAAACUAGAUAUUAUACGUCAAGAGUAAAGCACUCAUUACACAAGCUACUUGAAAGAAUCAAAUAUGAAGAAAUUGAUGAUAUAGACGAACUUAGAAUAUGUUUACGACAAGAAGCUACAAGAUGGGCAUGUCUUCUUGAUGACAUCACUUGUAAGAAAAAUGCCAACAUUAAAUUAAAACAACACCUCCAAGAUCUUACAAA
Molecule: non-coding RNA, 529 nt
Organism: Nylanderia fulva
Lineage: Eukaryota; Metazoa; Arthropoda; Insecta; Hymenoptera; Formicidae
Source: RefSeq, a predicted model, not a curated record